AGUCGAGCGGGGUGAUGGUGCUUGCACUAUCACCUAGCGGCGGACGGGUGAGUAAUGCUUAGGAAUCUGCCUAUUAGUGGGGGACAACAUUUCGAAAGGAAUGCUAAUACCGCAUACGUCCUACGGGAGAAAGCAGGGGAUCUUCGGACCUUGCGCUAAUAGAUGAGCCUAAGUCGGAUUAGCUAGUUGGUGGGGUAAAGGCCUACCAAGGCGACGAUCUGUAGCGGGUCUGAGAGGAUGAUCCGCCACACUGGGACUGAGACACGGCCCAGACUCCUACGGGAGGCAGCAGUGGGGAAUAUUGGACAAUGGGCGCAAGCCUGAUCCAGCCAUGCCGCGUGUGUGAAGAAGGCCUUAUGGUUGUAAAGCACUUUAAGCGAGGAGGAGGCUACUUUAGAUAAUACCUAGAGAUAGUGGACGUUACUCGCAGAAUAAGCACCGGCUAACUCUGUGCCAGCAGCCGCGGUAAUACAGAGGGUGCAAGCGUUAAUCGGAUUUACUGGGCGUAAAGCGCGCGUAGGCGGCUAAUUAAGUCAAAUGUGAAAUCCCCGAGCUUAACUUGGGAAUUGCAUUCGAUACUGGUUAGCUAGAGUGUGGGAGAGGAUGGUAGAAUUCCAGGUGUAGCGGUGAAAUGCGUAGAGAUCUGGAGGAAUACCGAUGGCGAAGGCAGCCAUCUGGCCUAACACUGACGCUGAGGNGCGAA
RNAcentral lists this ribosomal RNA (703 nucleotides) under Acinetobacter sp. UAPS0163. RNAcentral describes it as "bacterial SSU rRNA". It matches the Rfam family "Bacterial small subunit ribosomal RNA", at positions 60 to 757 of the family's 1533-position model. Lineage: Bacteria; Pseudomonadati; Pseudomonadota; Gammaproteobacteria; Moraxellales; Moraxellaceae. The record is from RNAcentral.